Molecule: non-coding RNA, 275 nt
Organism: Jatropha curcas
Lineage: Eukaryota; Viridiplantae; Streptophyta; Magnoliopsida; Malpighiales; Euphorbiaceae
Source: RefSeq, a predicted model, not a curated record
UGUUCAUGUUCGAAUUGCCAUUCCAGAGAAUGAUCAUGUCAAACAAGGGAAGGGUGAAACGCGGAGUUUGAAUUCAAAGGUCCUAGACUUUUUUGGAAGCAACUUUUGAUUUCUGGAUCCGAUGAGUUCGAAAACACCAUUUUACAUAUGGCUGCCAAGUUAGCACCUCCUGAUAGACUUGCUGGCAUCUCAGGUGCAGCAUUGCAGAUGCAAAGAGAGCUACAAUGGUAUAAGGAAGUAGAAAGCAUUUCGAUUUUCCUGUCGAAUAAGAAUAC